Molecule: transfer RNA, 68 nt
Filed under: Megophrys omeimontis (Mount Omei spadefoot toad)
Lineage: Eukaryota; Metazoa; Chordata; Amphibia; Anura; Megophryidae
Description: Xenophrys omeimontis (Mount Omei spadefoot toad) tRNA-Asp
Source: RNAcentral
GAAAUGUUAGUAAAUUUUUAUAUCACCUCGUCAAGAUGAAGUAACUGGUUAACUCCCAGUACAUUUCA